AGUGAACGCUGGCGGUAGGCCUAACACAUGCAAGUCGAACGGCAGCACAGUAACAGCUUGCUCUUACGGGUUGCGAGUGGCGUGCGGGUGAGGAAUACAUCCGAAUCUACUUUUUCGUGGUGGCUUACGUAGCUACACUUACGCUCAUACCGCAUCCUACCUACGGGUGACCGCAGGAGAUCUUCUCACCUUGCGCUAUUGCAUGAGCCGAUGUCGUAUUAGCUAGUUGGCGGGGUAACGGCCCACCCAGGCGAUGAUCCGUCGCUGGUCUGAGAGGAUGAUCAGCCACACUGGAACGGGGACGCGGUCCAGGCUCCUACGAGAGGCAGCAGUGGGGAAUAUUGGACAAUGGGCGCAAGCCUGAUCCAGCCAUACCGCGUGGGUGAAGAAGGCCUUCGGGUUGUAAAGCCCUUUUGUUGGGAAAGAAAAGCAGCAGGUUGAUACCCCGCUGUUCUGACGGUACCUAAAGAAUAAGCACCGGCUAACUUCGUG
This 492-nucleotide ribosomal RNA is filed under the name uncultured bacterium. Its description in RNAcentral is "partial 16S ribosomal RNA". It matches the Rfam family "Bacterial small subunit ribosomal RNA", at positions 29 to 507 of the family's 1533-position model. The record is from RNAcentral.